Molecule: long non-coding RNA, 553 nt
Filed under: Helianthus annuus (common sunflower)
Lineage: Eukaryota; Viridiplantae; Streptophyta; Magnoliopsida; Asterales; Asteraceae
Source: RNAcentral
UUUGUAAGUCCCUCAUCGGGUAUUAGUUAGUAGCGCUACUUAGGUUUGGCACCCUCACCCCGUGCCUGUAGAGGACGGAGGUGAACUAAUGACCCAGUCUGGCCCAGUACUAGAUAGGAGUACGUGGGAAGGGCAGUCGUGUAUUUCAGGAGCCGUCAUUUCCGUGAGCCGUCCGUGUUUGGAAAUGAGAUAUUAACAAUAUUACUUGCAUUGGGUAUUAAACUGUUUUACAUACACCGGGUAACAAACGUUUUCUAAAACUGUGAACUCGCCAGCUUUGUCUGAUACGUGUGUUACAUGCUCGCAGGUCCAUAGGUACUAUGAAAGCAGGAACUUGCUGGCUGGAGGGCGUGAGUGGUCAUGGUUGCUUGCUGGAUUUAUUAUCAGACUUUUUAUACUAUGUUCGUUUGGGAUAACACUUAUAUUACGUUACAUUAAUGCUUCCGCUAAACUUAUGGUUUUUGAAUAAUGUAUGUUGGGAUUUUACUAUCUUUAAACAACGAAGUUUUAUUUCAAACUUGUGAUUCAAUGUAAUUGGUGGCUCAUUGCUAGU